UCGCUUAUCGACCGCGACCCC
Molecule: ribosomal RNA, 21 nt
Filed under: Serjania lethalis
Lineage: Eukaryota; Viridiplantae; Streptophyta; Magnoliopsida; Sapindales; Sapindaceae
Description: partial 26S ribosomal RNA
Source: RNAcentral